AAGGUGGCAGUAAUGAGCAAAUUCACAACUUGGACUACGGCCCUGCCGCUUCUUCAGGAUCCUGACGUAAAGGAAAACACCUGUUCAUGAUGUGUGCAAGAAGGUGUUAGAGCAGAGAACUACUGGAAACGGAAAACAGAAGUACAGAGACUUGCCCUAAUGGAAAGGUAACCCAUGAGCAUUAAAUAGAAAUGUGCUGUCAUGCUAUGCAUUUCCUGAGGUAAUUUACACGAACCUACCAAAAUGGUGUUUGAGUUAUUUCACUCUACAUAUUGUUUGCAUUGUAUAUCGUAUUAUCAUAAAUCUAUUUGUUUCACACGGUAAAGGAAAAUAAUCAAAUUGCUUACACAAGUAUUUAUUUAAUUAAGCUUUAACAUUUGUACCUUUUUAUAAGAUUGUGUACUCAUUUCACAGCACAUAAUUGGUUUCCUAAUUUAUUACAGCUAUUUUGACUUGAAACGUGUUCUUUAUGAUCUAAAAUGUGUCUCUUGGUGUUUACCUCCAAUGGCCAUUCUGUGAAAGUGUCCCAUUCUAGAGCUGAGAAGAGACAGCAGGACAGGGAAUCAUCUGCUAGUGUCGCGUCAGAUGUCUACAUGUCCACAAGUUGUUUAAGAAAAAGUAAGAAUAAAUUUAAGAGGACUACAACAGUUUGCUGCAACAGUUCUUCUCCAUGCUGGAUGGUUAUUCUUCAGACCUGAAAACGGUGUUUGGCAAGGAAGGCGGCAUUCAAGGACAAAAGAUUAAGAGCAUCAUGGUUCCCAUAACCCAGACUAACUCCAUUGAUGUCAGAAGAGUACAUCCUUUAAGCCCAGUGUGUGUUCCUCAAUGAAGAUCCUGGCAACCUUGUGAAAGAAUGGAUGAUCGUGGACGCCUUGAAGAAGCCAUGAUAGAGACAAUUCUUGAAGUUUUUGUCAUUCACAAAGAUGCAGAGGCAGAUGAUGACCCUGAAGAUGUAGUCAUCGUUUCAAGUCCUGGAUGAGUUGGGUAGUGUCCCACUUGCUGUGUUGUUGUUUGCUCUUGUUAUAUGCUCUCAACCUCAGCUACCCUCCACUAAAAGUUGUUUGAAAUAUUGGCCCAAUGCUGUAUGUACAAUACUGGAUGUUAGUGACAUUUUGUAGCUGCCUUUGACAUUUGAAAGCUGUUUUAUCGUUUUUAUGAAGCUUAUAAAGUAUUCUAACCAGUCUAAAUCCAA
Betta splendens (Siamese fighting fish) is the source of this 1192-nucleotide long non-coding RNA. RefSeq lists it as uncharacterized. The transcript is spliced from 5 exons. The record is from RefSeq and is a predicted model, not a curated record. Lineage: Eukaryota; Metazoa; Chordata; Actinopteri; Anabantiformes; Osphronemidae.